RNAcentral lists this unclassified non-coding RNA (488 nucleotides) under Hevea brasiliensis (rubber tree). Lineage: Eukaryota; Viridiplantae; Streptophyta; Magnoliopsida; Malpighiales; Euphorbiaceae. The record is from RNAcentral.
AAGUGAUAGUUGUAGUAGUAUGGGAUAUCAACACUCUUAUAGCUGUGUUGGAGGAACUAGGGUCAGUGGAUGAAGGCCUAUCUAUGAUGGCAACACAAAAGGUAGUAAGAGAUCUCUCGAGAGUCCAGGUGUGAUGCCAACUCAACUAUAAUUGCUUUAAUAUUUUUUUUCCUUGAUUUCCUUUUCUUUUCUUGCUUUUUCCCUUCCUUUUCUUUCUUUUCUCCUCUUUUCCUUUCUUUCUUUUCUUCUCUCGCCAGCGAUGGUCCUCCCUUCUCCUUUGGUCGGCAAUGGAGGCUCCUUGCACUUCCUUGCCAUCAAUUUUAAUGAGUUAUGGUUUUUGGGCUUGUGAGUUCAUGAUUGGGAUGAGAGAUUGGGUGAAGAAUUUUGGAAAAAUUUAGAGAAAACUUGUGAGCUUAGGUGUUCGAUUUGAGAGAGUUGGGAGAGAAUGGAGAAAAAAUUUUGCGUGAGAGAGAGAGAGAGAGAGAGAG